UACGGAGGAUGCGAGCGUUAUCCGGAUUUAUUGGGUUUAAAGGGUGCUCAGGCGGAUUUUUAAGUCAGCGGUCAAAUCGUGGGGCUCAACCCCAUCCAGCCGUUGAAACUGAUGAUCUUGAGUGGGCGAGAAGUAUGCGGAAUGCGUGGUGUAGCGGUGAAAUGCAUAGAUAUCGCGCAGAACCCCGAUUGCGAAGGCAGCGUACCGGCUCCACACUGACGCUGAGGCACGAAAGCGUGGGUAUCGAACAGG
This 252-nucleotide ribosomal RNA is filed under the name uncultured Bacteroidales bacterium. Its description in RNAcentral is "partial 16S ribosomal RNA". It matches the Rfam family "Bacterial small subunit ribosomal RNA", at positions 524 to 776 of the family's 1533-position model. The record is from RNAcentral. Lineage: Bacteria; Pseudomonadati; Bacteroidota; Bacteroidia; Bacteroidales.